Molecule: ribosomal RNA, 512 nt
Filed under: uncultured bacterium
Lineage: Bacteria
Description: partial 16S ribosomal RNA
Rfam family: Bacterial small subunit ribosomal RNA
Source: RNAcentral
GAUGAACGCUGGCGGCGUGCCUAAUACAUGCAAGUCGAACGGUACUUCUUUAUCACCGUGUGCUUGCACUCACCGAUAACGAAUUGAGUGGCGACCGGGUAAUUGCCACGUGGCCACCCUUCCCAAAAGAGGGGGAUAACACGUUAAAACGGGUUCUACUACCGCAUACCCAUAGUUACCGCAGGGUAACUAUGUAAAAGGUGGCGAUACUACCGCUGUCGUAUGAGCUCGCUGCGCAUUAGCUAGUUGGUAGGGGAAAGGCUUACCAAGGCACUGGUGCGGAGCCGAAGUGAGAGGAUGAUCGGCCACAAUGGGACUGAGACGAGGCCCAAAAGCCUACGGGAGGCAGCAGUAGGGAAGAUUCUACAAUGGGCGAAAGAAGGAUGGAGCAACGCCGCGGGGGUGGAGAAGGUCUCCGGAUCGUAAUACCCCGUUGUUAGAGAAGAAAGUGGGUGGGAGUGAUUGUGCACGUGUCGACGGUAGCUAAACAGAAAGCCACUGCUAACUACGUG